Molecule: long non-coding RNA, 319 nt
Filed under: Trifolium pratense (red clover)
Lineage: Eukaryota; Viridiplantae; Streptophyta; Magnoliopsida; Fabales; Fabaceae
Description: long non-coding RNA (TPRA_LNC008905)
Source: RNAcentral
UCAAAACAAUAAUUAAUAUUGCAUUGAACUUAGAAAACAAUAAGUAAUUAAGAAUAAAAAUUUAAUGCAAUACAUUCUUAUUCCCUCUCUUCCUUUUUCUCUCACUAUAGUUAUUGACUUGUUGUCCAAUAAAAACAAGGGAAAAGAAAGUUGUUCAAAAAUUGUUGUACAAAUAUCAUUUCUCUAAUUUUGAAAGCUUGAAACUUUCUAAUGGUUGUGGCUGGGUUUAUAUAUGGGCCUAGGUCGACCAACUCAACAAAGUGAAAUUUUUCUCUUGCCACUCCCUGUAUUUCUUUUCUACCCCCUAAUUUUUCAUUUU